GAGAGCCGUGUGCAUUGAAAGAUGCAUGCCCGGUUCAAAGGGGGGGAACUCUCGUGAGAGAUGACCUAUCCCAAU
Molecule: non-coding RNA, 75 nt
Organism: Amborella trichopoda
Lineage: Eukaryota; Viridiplantae; Streptophyta; Magnoliopsida; Amborellales; Amborellaceae
Source: Rfam